UAAAAUGUCAUUUUUUAUUUUAAUAUGUUCUCAUCUUCAAGGAAUCUGUAUGUUAGUGUCUGAGCACCAAGUGAUGCAAAACUCCUUUUGAAUUAGAGGCAUCUGUUCUGGAGGGAACUGGAUCAUUCUCCUGGUUCUCAUUUCAAACUCUCUCCUAUAGAUGUCCCAAGGAGCAGGCAGAGGAAAGUAUGAAUCAAGAGAAAAAGCAGAACACAAAGACUUUGAGUGACACAAAGACUUGGAAAUGGAUGUCCCCAACAAACACACCUACUAUAUUCUGAGGCUGACUAUCUGUCUCCUUCCUAAGCUCGGAAGGUAGGCUGGCUGGAGAUCAUCCCCAUGUCUGAUCUACAUGCAGUGUUUCUGAAACAAGCUCCUAUUGCCUUUUCAGAAUUGGAUGCAGAGCAAGCAGAUGACAUUCAGAAGGACGGAAGAGGCACAGUGAAGAUCGAGAACUGUUGUUCCAGAAGUAAACAAGACCAAGC
Molecule: long non-coding RNA, 485 nt
Filed under: Fukomys damarensis (Damara mole-rat)
Lineage: Eukaryota; Metazoa; Chordata; Mammalia; Rodentia; Bathyergidae
Description: lncRNA (ENSFDAG00000030674.1)
Source: RNAcentral